GAAACCCUGACGGAGCAAUACCGCGUGAGGGAUGACGGCCUAUGGGUUGUAAACCUCUUUUUUCAGGGAGGAAUCAAUGACGUGUACCUGAAGAAUAAGCAUCGGCUAACUCCGUGCCAGCAGCCGCGGUAAGACGGAGGAUGCAAGUGUUAUCCGGAAUCACUGGGCGUAAAGCGUCUGUAGGUGGUUUAAUAAGUCAACUGUUAAAUCUUGAGGCUCAACCUCAAAAUCGCAGUCGAAACUAUUAGACUAGAGUAUAGUAGGGGUAAAGGGAAUUUCCAGUGGAGCGGUGAAAUGCGUAGAUAUUGGAAGGAACACCGAUGGCGAAGGCACUUUACUGGGCUAU
This 346-nucleotide ribosomal RNA is filed under the name uncultured Chlorophyta. RNAcentral's name for it is "bacterial SSU rRNA". It matches the Rfam family "Bacterial small subunit ribosomal RNA", at positions 377 to 737 of the family's 1533-position model. Lineage: Eukaryota; Viridiplantae; Chlorophyta. The record is from RNAcentral.